Molecule: ribosomal RNA, 165 nt
Filed under: uncultured bacterium
Lineage: Bacteria
Description: partial 16S ribosomal RNA
Rfam family: Bacterial small subunit ribosomal RNA
Source: RNAcentral
CGUGAGAUGUUGGGUUAAGUCCCGCAACGAGCGCAACCCUUGUUUUUAGUUGCCAUCCUUAAGUUGGGCACUCUGAAAAGACUGCCAGUGACAAACUGGAGGAAGGUGGGGAUGACGUCAAGUCCUCAUGGCCCUUACGAGUAGGGCUACACACGUGCUACAAUG